Molecule: small nuclear RNA, 162 nt
Organism: Otolemur garnettii (small-eared galago)
Lineage: Eukaryota; Metazoa; Chordata; Mammalia; Primates; Galagidae
Gene: U1
Rfam family: U1 spliceosomal RNA
About the family: U1 is a small nuclear RNA (snRNA) component of the spliceosome (involved in pre-mRNA splicing). Its 5' end forms complementary base pairs with the 5' splice junction, thus defining the 5' donor site of an intron.
Source: Ensembl
AUACUUACCUGGCAGGGGCGAUAAUCAUGAUCACGAAGGUGGUUUUCCCAGGGUGAGGCUUAUCCAUUGCACUUUGGAGGUGCCAACCCCUGUGAUUUAGAAUGUGGGAAACUCGACCGCAUAAUCUGUGGUAGUGGGGGACUGCAUUCAUGUGUUCCCCUG